Molecule: long non-coding RNA, 1323 nt
Organism: Astatotilapia calliptera (eastern happy)
Lineage: Eukaryota; Metazoa; Chordata; Actinopteri; Cichliformes; Cichlidae
Source: Ensembl
GUUCUCACAGGGUGUACUGCUGUAUUCCCUGCCCAUGCACAGAUGCCAGCUCCAGCGGUACAGUACCUGCAGACAGAAAUUUCAGCCAGCAGCUUCAUGUUCGUUUUAAAGAGCACAGCAUGUGCUGUGCCACAGUCUGGAUCACAGCAUGUGCUGUGCCACAGUCUGGAUCACAGCACAAUACUGUGAAGGAAAAUUUACGGUUUUGCUUUCCAAAUCCUCCAGAUAAAAUGAUCUUGUUGUGUUUUUGCUCAUAACAUCUUGAAGUAAGCCAUUUAAGCAUUCUUGAAACAAUAAACUGGAGUGUUUCUAGUUUAAAGGAGCAAUAAAGUAAGUGCUGGCAGCACAAGCAUGUGACUUUAAAAAAGGGAGAGUUGUUGAUGUCACUUGUUUUAAAUCUUUUUUUUUUUCUUUUUUGAUUUACUUCAUCUUUACAGACCAGUUUUACUUGGGCAGGAUUAGUAAAAGAUUAGACAUUUUCACAACAUCAACACGUUUGAAGGCUUGAGUUGCCUGAGUUAUGACACUAUUCUUCCAAUUGUCCACAUAUUAAAAUUUCCUGUCUAAUAGUAUGUUGGCCCAACUGCGUCCUGCUAAAAUAGCAUGGAAACAUGAUCUCUGGAGGUGCUUUUGGUGUCUGGCAAGGGACUUUGGCAGAAAUCCACUCAGUAGGUUGUGGUCUGCAUUUAAGACGCUGAUUGGUGAGCCACAGCUGAGCCCAGCAUCCUUGUGCAACACUUUAAAUUUUACUUGACAAUGCAUAAGGAGCUUCAGUUUCUUCCUUCUGAACAACUUUUUGAACAGAACAACACUGUUUAAAAACUGCUUUUUUCCAGCAGCCAUUAGUCAGAUAAACAUAUCAUAGCUUUGCUACAUGUGUCUGUGUCUCUGCUGAAAAUGUGAGUAUAGAUGACUCACUGCUGCAAAGUAAAUCUACCUAUGGGUACAAAUAAAGUAACCUGAGCCUGAACCAUUGCAAUGAGAUGAAAGAACAGCGGGUAGCUCUGCAUGUUUGAUUUGGCAGAUUUUUUUGUUGUUGAAUGUUCUUCCUGACACACACAACCCCAAAAGGAUUUGUAUCUUUACCUGGGAUGGAACCGGCUUUAGGCGAUUGUCUAAAACACUAUAUUAUGUCAUAACUAAAGCAAUUUCACUUCAUCUGUCUGAAUGUUCUGUUCACACAAGCAAGCAAAAGAUUUAUUUUUUUUUAGCAUUUACUGCUUUACAUUUUGAUUGGCAUUGCAGUUUAGCUUUAAAAUUUUCUUCUUAUUACUCCCUCAGCUCCACCAAGCCCAUUUAACACAUACAGAAGUGCUCUGUUUU